RNAcentral lists this long non-coding RNA (599 nucleotides) under Hordeum vulgare. RNAcentral describes it as "long non-coding RNA (HVUL_LNC012063)". The record is from RNAcentral. Lineage: Eukaryota; Viridiplantae; Streptophyta; Magnoliopsida; Poales; Poaceae.
GUAAGCAUCCCUAUGCUAAUCAUAUCAUCUAUAUGAUUCAUGAUCGACCUUUCGGUCUCAUGUGUUCCGAGGCCAUGUCUACACAUGCUAGGCUCGUCAAGCUUAACCCGAGUGUUCCGCGUGCGCAACUGUUUUGCACCCGUUGUAUGUGAACGUUGAGUCUAUCACACCCGAUCAUCACGUGGUGUCUCGAAACGACGAACUGUAGCAACGGUGCACAGUUGGGAAGAACACAAUUUCGUCCUGAAAUUUUAGUGAGAGAUCACCUCAUAAUGCUACCGUCGUUCUAAGCAAAAUAAGGUGCAUAAAAGGAUUAACAUCACAUGCAAUUCAUAAGUGACAUGAUAUGGCCAUCAUCACGUGCUCCUUGAUCUCCAUCACCAAAGCACCGGCACGAUCAUCUUGUCACCGGCGCCACACCAUGAUCUCCAUCAACGUGUCGCCAUCGGGGUUGUCGUGCUACUCAUACUAUUACUACUAAAGCUACAUCCUAGCAAAAUAGUAAACGCAUCUGCAAGCACAAACGUUAGUAUAAAGACAACCCUAUGGCUCCUGCCGGUUGCCGUACCAUCGACGUGCAAGUCGAUAUUAUCUAUUAC